Molecule: long non-coding RNA, 5280 nt
Filed under: Homo sapiens (human)
Lineage: Eukaryota; Metazoa; Chordata; Mammalia; Primates; Hominidae
Description: non-protein coding lnc-TMEM110-MUSTN1-1:2
Source: RNAcentral
CAAACACUGACCAAAUAUGCAAGGAAGGAGCUGUGUUUGUUUGUUGUCGUCCCAGACAGUGUUGUGAGGGACCUGAGGCCCUGCCCCGUGUCCGACCACCGAGUGGCAAGGUGGAAGGAAGCACAGGCACACAGACCGUGGGUGGGUCUCCUCACCGUGGCUGUGGGCAGUGCGAACACAUAACACCCUCGGGCUAAAAGUGACUCGUUGACCAAGUUGGAACCGGAAUGCUUUCUUACUCAAAAUGGCUUUUGUAACUAUUGAUUUCUGAAGCUGGUUUUAUGAGUUGUGACAGUGUUACCAGGUUGGGGGUAUGUGUUUAUUUCCUACAAAGUACUUACGGGACUAAUGGGCAAAACAGAGAUUUUUAAGUCUUCCGUAUGCUGUUUGACUUUUAUAUUUUUAAGUUAUAUUUUCAUACUAUUGUAUUUAAAAACUCUUUUUAGUCCCCAAAGAAAUGGGUUUAUUUGCCUUUCAUGGGGUGUGGGCUGGCAGGAGGAAAAAUCGGGAGUUUUUUAUUUGGAAUAUUAUUAGAUGAUGCCCUAUGAUAAGAUGAGACAAAUGAUGGGGAGGGAAGGAGGAUGGCCCUUCUCUAGAAUCAGCAAACCCAAUGGUUCUGUGAAGGUCAGACCCAAGCUUGGAGCAGCUGGUCUGGAUGCAGAUCCAGGAGCUGCAGAGUGUGGAACAGGAAAGGCUCUGCCCAGGGCCCAUGAGCUCUAGCAUUCCUGCUGGCAGAUUAGAGAUCUUAGUUAAAUUUGACCAAGAAAGGAGCUUAGCUAAGAGGUCUUUGUUUCCAGAGGACCCAAGACUACCAGACUCCUGUGCAGUCUGCCUGUCUGCAGAGCCUCCAAUCACGGUUUAAAGUGGUCUUGGCCUCCCAGCCCCCACUGCUGCAGCCUUCAGAGCCAGCCUCUGGACUCAGCGCCAGGAGCCUCCUCUCCUGCUGCCCUGGUACCUGUCAUCCUAGUGUCACCUAUUUGUUUUGCACAGCAUUCUGGAGAACAUGUGCCUCACAAAGUGAUCCUGUUUUUCUCACCCUCCAAAGCUGAGGUGGCUAAGGGAGGCAGGGGUGAGAGAGCUCACUCUCUAAACCACAGGCAGGGCAAGGUGCUUCUAGGCCGUGUCCCCUCCCUGGGGAAUGGUCACUACUCCUCAGCAUGGCCACAGGCCCCUGUGGUUUUGGGAGUUUGCUGAGUGACUGUGGAAUGGGCUGACCCCAGCCGUUUCCCUGCUGUGGAAACAGCAAGGUAGGGGCACUGCUUGGUGGUUUGUCAAGCUCAGAGGCAGCCACGGAUGGUUAGGAACAGGAAGCCACACUGCUAAGGUGUGAUGAGCUAGAAGGGAGACAUCCUGGACUUCAAGUGAGACAAGUGCAGAGGAGGCCACUCCACUUAGGACCUUCCUUUUAGACCUGCAUGAGCACGUGUUUCACUUAAGCACAUUGGGUCCGAAUUGGGCGCAUGAACCCAGCUGUUAAACCAGGUACCCUGGGACUGCCCUCUGCCUCUCAGAGCCCUACCUGUCCUGGACUUGAAGGCGAGCAUCAGGCAGGCCUUCUCAGCCCAUCUUCCACCAGGAGUGCAGAGCCAGGGUGCUGAGAGGAGCAGGGACUGUAACUACAGUAGGAGGCAACUUUGCUGGUGUCAUUCCUGCUCGGAUUGACUUUGUGCUCCCUCCCAUCCACAGCUAUGGUAGCCAGUAUUUCCCCAGCAGCUCUCUAGUGGGGAAGAGUGGCUAGAACCAGGCCAUUCUCAGUCGAAUUUAGGAAGACCAAGACUCAUGUUCCUGACAGGACGGUCAUUCCCUCAUGGCAUCACUGACUCAGUUCUAAUUCCUCCCCUCCUGUUUCAUUUUGGUUUGAACAACCUGUGCCUGCAGCUGUUUCUUCCACCUUCCUGGAGCUCACAAUUGGAGCUUCAUGUUCAGUCUUGAGCUCCUAAUGUUUCCAGACAGGGCAGGGGAUAGGAGAGCCAUAAUCUAUGAAAGCUGUGAAACAAACCCUGGGUUAUAUAGAUCUCAGAUGGUCUCAUCUGAAGGCUUUGCCCACUUCCCAGUGAGCAGAGGGUUUGGGGAACAAAGAGGUAGCUGAAGAGUGGUGGUUUUUCCCUGUAUCCUGAUUUUCAGAAAGGGCUUUAGUCUCUGAGCUGUGGCUAGUAGCUGGCUGGCUGACCAGGGGACGGGGGUCUAAUAGGGUGUCUGACCAUAGGACACCUCUCGUGUUUGGCCUUCCCUUUCUUGUGUGUUUGUGUGUGUGUGUGCACGUGCACGUGCACACACAUGUACACACACAAAUCUGUAUCCCCAGGAGUGCCUCCUGCAGUCACUGGGGGCUCUUCCGUGGUGCACCAUCCCAUGAGAGCAGAUCAGAGGGCUGUGGUCAGGACUUCCUCCCGAGCUGCCCUCCCUCCCUGGGAUGAGUUUCCUCUCCACCUGCUCCAAGGUGCCUUACGAGGUGCAGCUCUUCACCUGGCCACAUGGCAUCCAUCACCGUGUUGAGAAAUGGUGGGACGUUGGCUGGAUAUUGUGUGCUAUGAAUCUGAUUUGUCCAAAUCUGGACCUCAGCCAAGCCACCUGUGGUGGAACCUUGCAAGUCAAGGUCAUGAACAAAUUUCUUGUAACUAUUGGAAAUAAACUAAUGAGGUAGAACUGUCAUAUCCAAAUGGAAGAGGUGGUUGGUACUGUUACUUCCUUUUGCUGUCAGAGGGUUGUUGACAAUGGCAAGGGGGGAUGUUAGUGAGAUCCAGGUGGUGGUGGCUUCUUGGUCCACUCAGCUUGCACACAUGCAAGAGGAGGGUCUGUGGCCCCUCAGCCGUGCUGGUGGCCUCCUUCCUCAAGCUUUAACUUGUGCCCUCCCUGGCAACAGGGAGUCAUGGGUUAAUGUCACCUGUCAUGCCUCUUUCUUCAGGGAAAAUAUUAAAAGGCUCAAAUCCAAGCUGUGACUUCCCUUAGACAGUGUAAGCCUGUAGGGUGCAGCCCCAAGUUUAUGUCCAAAGGCUGCCUCAGAACCCUGGAGGGAGCAGCGCCCAGCUGGCAGCUCACUCUGCCCUUGCAGUUCACUGGCCUUUUCGCAGCCAGGCUAAGAUAGGCAGUGCAAGGAGCUUCCCACUGGCCAGAGCAGCUGCCUUGUAGAAUGUGGGGCUGGCUUUUAGAAGUUUCACACGCUUGCAGCUAAGAGUGCAGAGCUCUCUGUUUUACUUCGUGAAACAUUAGCAGCUCUGAGGGGCUUGGCUUUUGGUAAGGGACUUAUGGUCUGACUUGCCACAAGCACCUUGAGCUCCUGGGUUGGUUGGUGGUUGGUUGGUUGGGUUGUUUUAAAUUUGAUUUUUCUUUUCCUGAAGUUUGUUAGAAGUCAGACCUAUGCAAGGAAAACCAUGGCCCACUUCAGCAGCCAUCCAGUGGGGGUGCUUAAUCGGUGGUGGUAGGAUUCAUGGAAACGUUUUUUUGAAAUGAAAGAGAAGAUGAUGUACUUACAUUGUAAAAUGGUUUACAAUAAAGUUUGGCAUCUUAUUACAGUUUUUUUUAAAAAGAAACCAUCACAUUUGUGGUUGUGGUUGUGGGUUCUCUGGAGUUGAAACAGCUUGGCAGGGUCAAAAAAGAUUCCCCUGUGAAUUAGAAGGUUCUCCCCAGGGACCAGAGUGAGAAGGAACCUUACGAAGCCUCAUGGCAGGAGUGGGAGCCAGCAACUGCCCAGUGAAAAGCCAAACAUGCUCUUGCCAUGUCCAUCUCCACUUCUUCGCUAGUGAGAAUUAAAGCAAGUCCGUCUCUGAGGAGGACAUCGUGUUGGGGAGGUAGAGUAUAAGCAGUGAGUAGCCCACAUCCUUGUCCCUGAGGCUGCGGGGCUGGAAGGAGGUCCCUGGGCAGAGCCGCAGCAUCAGGUGCCAUCUGCAGGGGCACCCCUGGAACUAGUGGAAGGCCCCCACAAGGCCUGGCCUGCCCUCAGCUGCCUCUUGGCCCAUGUGCCACAUCCUGGGCAUUCCUCAUGUCAGCACUUGUCUCAGAUCAAGCCUGGCAGUCCUCUCAUUGGCCUCCUGGAGCCAGGGUGUCAGGAGGGGGAUUGGGGUGGGGUUCAAAGUAUGACAGCAAUGGAGUGGCAUUUGGGAUAACCAAAUGUCAGUGCCUGGUUGAGUUCCAUCUGCCUGGAGCCUUCGAGGAUAAAAAUAAUCUCCAUCAUAAACUGAAAAGGACUUAGAUAUGUGUGUUACUGGGAGGGCUGCGACCUAUGCACACCUAUUCCCCAUACCCACCCCAGGCGUAGGCUCCUGGCCUGUGCCCUGGGGGAUCUUCCCCUUGCAAGGAGGGGUGUGUUAGGAGCUUCUAGCAAAGGAGAGCUAAGUGACCUUCCGGGGAGCCCUUGGGCCUGUUCUUGUCUCUGCAGCUCAGUAUCUGGAGUGGGCUUCACUCUCCCCCACCCUCUUUGAGCAACUGAAACUGUCCUGCAGGCCAGCCCCCCUGCGGUGGCCUCACCUACUCGGAGGACCCAAAUCCGUAAACACAAAGCAUGUCCGUCAGUGCCAGCACCUCCCCCCGGCGAAUCAAGCAGCUGUCCCAGAGGGCAAAGGGUCUCUGCAGCCAUCUGCUUUCAUCAGGGCUGCAGCCCCCAGGCAGCAGUACUGGGAGCCCCUCUCAUCUCCGAGAAUAAACUCUGAAGCCAGCGACCCUGCGGACCUGAAUCAUCAGGGAGCCUGUCAGAGGAGGGGCAGUGACUCUGCGGGACAAGCAAGCAGGCUAUAUAAGUUUCAGAAGGCUGGGCUCCACUCAGAUCUUUUCCAGCAGCUGCUGCCUGCCAGAGAGGCGCCUUCAGAGACCCAGCGCUUACACAAUACCCACCAUGUCCCAGGCUGGUGCUCAGGAAGCCCCUAUCAAGAAGAAGCGCCCCCCUGUGAAGGACGAGGACCUGAAGGGGGCCCGAGGAAACCUGACCAAGAACCAGGAAAUCAAGUCCAAGACCUACCAGGUCAUGCGAGAGUGUGAGCAAGCUGGCUCGGCCGCCCCGUCGGUGUUCAGCCGCACCCGCACAGGUACCGAGACUGUCUUUGAGAAGCCCAAAGCCGGACCCACCAAGAGUGUCUUCGGCUGAGAAGUGUGCGCCACUCCCCUUGCUGCCCGAAUGCUCGGAAACAGGAGCCUUUCCCAGGAACUCUUUUUUAUGCCAGAACGCUUCCUCUCCCCUGCUGUCUCUGGGGCUGCCACCCUCCCCCACAGUCCAGGCCCUUCAGCCAAGGGCUCUGCACCAGCACCUUGGAAGCACCAAUAAAGAGGAUGCCCACGUGGCCCCAGCAA